CCGUAGCCUGGUAGCGGGGGGUAACUAUUGGAAACGAUAGCUAAUACCGCAUAAGAGUAGAUGUUGCAUGACAUUUGCUUAAAAGGUGCAAUUGCAUCACUACCAGAUGGACCUGCGUUGUAUUAGCUAGUUGGUGGGGUAACGGCUCACCAAGGCGACGAUACAUAGCCGACCUGAGAGGGUGAUCGGCCACACUGGGACUGAGACACGGCCCAG
This 216-nucleotide ribosomal RNA is filed under the name uncultured bacterium. RNAcentral describes it as "partial 16S ribosomal RNA". It matches the Rfam family "Bacterial small subunit ribosomal RNA", at positions 125 to 334 of the family's 1533-position model. The record is from RNAcentral.